Molecule: long non-coding RNA, 1927 nt
Organism: Phascolarctos cinereus (koala)
Lineage: Eukaryota; Metazoa; Chordata; Mammalia; Diprotodontia; Phascolarctidae
Source: RefSeq, a predicted model, not a curated record
CAUUACCUACGUAACUGUACAAAGCUAUACAGAUGCAAGAUUAGGGACUUGAUAGUAAACAGAGGCUAGUGAAAAAUCUCUGUAAGAGCAAGGUAAGUAGAAGAAUUGGGAGCCGAAGUUACAUUGAAUCCUUAGAUCACAUGUGGAAGUUACAUACAUUGAGGGGAAUAGGGAAGGAAUAAAAUAGAGACAGUGAAGAAAACUUUGGGACCUCUUUUAACAUAUAAAGAAUUCACUCAGUUAAGGUACGCCAUCCCAUUUCCUAAACUUAAGGUCCAAAGGGGAUCUUCGAGGCUGCCAGAAAGGUCCUUGGUAUCCUGGAGGACGUGCCCGCAGUGUUCUUUCCAACUUGGUAGAGACCAACUUUCAGCUUGCUUGGGAUGAAAGGAGUUCGAAGGAAGGAUGAAGGACAACAGAGCGAAAAAAUAAAAAUUAAGAAAUAAAAUUACGAAUCAGAGGCGCCCCAGUAUAGCGGAUGGAAAACAGGCUGCUUAGCUCCUGACACUUCCGCUGAUAUCUUUCUACUUUGCAUCAAGAGAAAUGAAGAUCAGAAAAUUACAACAACAACAAAAAACCCCCCAGCAUACUCAAUGCAAGGUUCGAAUGCAAUUAUAAGGAGAGGACAGAACUGACCGUUGGAAUGAAUUUGAGCUCCAGGGACGGGAGAAGACUGGCAGAGACAAGCUGAAAUAUGAGCCAAAUCUAUUCUGCGAGAUGCACAGGGGGGCGGGGGAGGGGGAUGUGGAAGGUUGCGAGUGGUGGUGCAGACUGUAAAAAGACCUCUGCCCUCAAGAAAACUUUCUUUUUUUCCCUCUUAUACUCCAUCCUCACACUUUUCUUUGCAUCUUCCUGUUCUUGUGUAUAUGUAUUUCUGCCACUUUCGAUUGAGGAGGGGUGAUUUAGUCCAGAGGACUGCUUCAGAAUACAUUUUAUUGAAGUUCAAAAUCUAUGUCUAUAUCUGCCCAACCACAAUGAAGAUCUUUAGAUCGCUUUAGGGAACUCUUCUAGGAAACUCAGGCCAAAAGAAAUCCUAUUCUACCCUCAACAAGACAUGUUAUUUGUUUUCUCCAAAAUUAUCCGGCUAAUUUUCAGCUCUCACUUAACUUUGCCCGAAAGCACAAGGUUAGACAAACAUGACUAUUAAAAAAUAACAAAUUAUUUUAAUCAUUUUUUUAAAGACAAGACCAGUGUCCACUGCUGAAAUUCCUGCAUUUUCAACUAGAUGAAAGCCUAUUAGUCCAUAGACUUGCUGAUAAGAAAUAAGAAGGUCAGCUCUUUUAGUCCACCUUGGAAUGAUGGGUAAAGGAAAAAUUGCUGGGGCCCCGAGGAGGAAACCCAAACAAGGGCUACAGGAGACCACUGAUGUUCUCAUAUCCCUAACCUGAUUUCCCAGCAUCUCCAAGAGGGAAAGCUAGUACCGUGAAGCAGACAAAUAAAGAGGAUAUUUGGAAGGGGCGGGGGGAGCGGCGGGAGUUUUAAAAGGAAUCCUCGGAUUUAGGUAUCAGUCUGUAAAAUAUGUUUGUGACUCCAGAGUGCCAAGGCAAUAUCUGGCAGUCCAGGGAGCAUUGCUUCACUUUUGAUGUGGCUGAUAACUAUCUUCAUAAGAUUUCUCUCUCUCUCUCUCUCUCUCUCUCUCUCUCUCUCUCUCUCUCUCUCUCUCUCUCUCUCUGUGUGUGUGUGCUGGUUCAUCUGCAUAGAGCUGGACAAGUGGUGUUGGUGCCCCCCUCCCCGCCACGAAUUUCUAGUAGAAAACAUCUGCACUGAUAGCCAUCCACAGACGCACCUCUGGAGUCGUGCAAUUAAUUAUACAUCUGCACAAGAGCGCCUGUACACAAACAGGCAGCUUUUCACACUGAUCCUCCUGGAGCAGGAUGCACCCUCGUGUGUCUCCCUCCCUUCCACAAAAAGGAACCGAACAAACCCCAAA